GAUGAACGCUGGCGGCGUGCCUAAUACAUGCGAGUCGAGCGAACGGACGAGAAGCUUGCUUCUCUGAUGUUAGCGGCGGACGGGUGAGUAACACGUGGAUAACCUACCUAUAAGACUGGGAUAACUUCGGGAAACCGGAGCUAAUACCGGAUGAUAUUUUGAACCGCAUGGUUCAAAAGUGAAAGACGGUCUUGCUGUCACUUAUAGAUGGAUCCGCGCUGCAUUAGCUAGUUGGUAAGGUAACGGCUUACCAAGGCAACGAUGCAUAGCCGACCUGAGAGGGUGAUCGGCCACACUGGAACUGAGACACGGUCCAGACUCCUACGGGAGGCAGCAGUAGGGAAUCUUCCGCAAUGGGCGAAAGCCUGACGGAGCAACGCCGCGUGAGUGAUGAAGGUCUUCGGAUCGUAAAACUCUGUUAUUAGGAAAGAACAUAUGUGUAAGUAACUGUGCACAUCUUGACGGUACCUAAUCAGAAAGCCACGGCUAACUACGUG
This 497-nucleotide ribosomal RNA is filed under the name uncultured bacterium. RNAcentral's name for it is "partial 16S ribosomal RNA". It matches the Rfam family "Bacterial small subunit ribosomal RNA", at positions 28 to 507 of the family's 1533-position model. The record is from RNAcentral.